Molecule: long non-coding RNA, 217 nt
Filed under: Elaeis guineensis (African oil palm)
Lineage: Eukaryota; Viridiplantae; Streptophyta; Magnoliopsida; Arecales; Arecaceae
Description: long non-coding RNA (EGUI_LNC012673)
Source: RNAcentral
GGUGGAGCUAGCUUUAUUAUAAGCAGUUUUGGUGGAGUUUUGAUAGUAGUAGAUGGGUUUUGAUUGUUGGAUACUAUAACACCUAUGGCAAAACUUCAUGCUACAUAGGAAGGUAUGUCAUAUACUUUGAAAAUUUUGAAAACUACUCAAAUUAUUCUUUUUUUUGGUAAAGUACUCAAAUUAUUCUUUAAGGAGUUCUUUGAUAGUUGUUAGAUGG